CUCUUGGUAUAAAUCAAGUAACCCCUGCCCUAUGAAAUUGUUAAAUGGCCGCAGUAUCCUGACUGUGCAAAGGUAGCAUAAUCAUUUGUCUCUUAAAUGGGGGCUGGAAUGAAGGGGGCGACGAGAUGCAUUCUUUUGAAAUUUUAAGUUAAUUUGACAUAAAAGUUAAAAGGCUUUUAUAUCUCUGGGGGACGAUAAGACCCUAUAAAACUUUACUCUAAAAUAAUUUAUAAAGAAGGUAAGAAAUAAGAGUUUAACUGGGGCGGUUUAUAUAGCAUCUAUAUAAGGUAAAAUAUAAAAGAUAGCAGGUAAUAACUUAAUUUAAAAUUUAAAUAAGUUACUUUAGGGAUAACAGCAUAACCCCCCCGGAGAGUCCUAAUCGGCGGGGGGAUUUAUGACCUCGAUGUUGAAUUGGGGAGACUCUUUUGGGCAGCUUUAAAAGAAGUUAGUCUGUUCGACUAUUAAACCCCC
This 471-nucleotide ribosomal RNA is filed under the name Lirceolus sp. Slaughter Bend. Its description in RNAcentral is "partial 16S ribosomal RNA". It matches the Rfam family "Bacterial large subunit ribosomal RNA", at positions 1835 to 2597 of the family's 2925-position model. Lineage: Eukaryota; Metazoa; Arthropoda; Malacostraca; Isopoda; Asellidae. The record is from RNAcentral.